RNAcentral lists this ribosomal RNA (759 nucleotides) under uncultured Neisseria sp. Its description in RNAcentral is "bacterial SSU rRNA". It matches the Rfam family "Bacterial small subunit ribosomal RNA", at positions 28 to 776 of the family's 1533-position model. The record is from RNAcentral. Lineage: Bacteria; Pseudomonadati; Pseudomonadota; Betaproteobacteria; Neisseriales; Neisseriaceae.
AUUGAACGCUGGCGGCAUGCUUUACACAUGCAAGUCGGACGGCAGCACAGAGAAGCUUGCUUCUUGGGUGGCGAGUGGCGAACGGGUGAGUAAUAUAUCGGAACGUACCGAGCAGUGGGGGAUAACUAAUCGAAAGAUUAGCUAAUACCGCAUAUUUUCUGAGGAAGAAAGCAGGGGACCAUUUGGCCUUGCGCUGUUUGAGCGGCCGAUAUCUGAUUAGCUAGUUGGUGGGGUAAAGGCCUACCAAGGCGACGAUCAGUAGCGGGUCUGAGAGGAUGAUCCGCCACACUGGGACUGAGACACGGCCCAGACUCCUACGGGAGGCAGCAGUGGGGAAUUUUGGACAAUGGGCGCAAGCCUGAUCCAGCCAUGCCGCGUGUCUGAAGAAGGCCUUCGGGUUGUAAAGGACUUUUGUCAGGGAAGAAAAGGAUAGGGUUAAUACCCCUGUCUGAUGACGGUACCUGAAGAAUAAGCACCGGCUAACUACGUGCCAGCAGCCGCGGUAAUACGUAGGGUGCGAGCGUUAAUCGGAAUUACUGGGCGUAAAGCGGGCGCAGACGGUUACUUAAGCAGGAUGUGAAAUCCCCGGGCUCAACCUGGGAACUGCGUUCUGAACUGGGUAACUAGAGUGUGUCAGAGGGAGGUAGAAUUCCACGUGUAGCAGUGAAAUGCGUAGAGAUGUGGAGGAAUACCGAUGGCGAAGGCAGCCUCCUGGGAUAACACUGACGUUCAUGCCCGAAAGCGUGGGUAGCAAACAGG